AGGAAUUGACGGGGGCCCGCACAAGCGGAGGAACAUGUGGUUUAAUUCGAUGAUACGCGAGGAACCUUACCCGGGCUCAAACGUAUGAUGAGCGUAGAGAGAUUUACGGGCCUAGUAAUAGGAGUCAUACGAGGUGCUGCAUGGUUGUCGUCAGCUCGUGCCGUGAGGUGUCAGGUUAAGUCCUAUAACGAGCGCAACCCCUGCUGACAGUUACUAACAGGUAAUGCUGAGGACUCUGUCGGGACUGCCGCCGUAAGGUGCGAGGAAGGCGGGGAUGACGUCAAAUCAGCACGGCCCUUACGUCCGGGGCGACACACGUGUUACAAUGGGCGGUACAGAGAGUUGCUAUCCCGUGAGGGUGCGCUAAUCUUGAAAGCCGUUCUCAGUUCGGAUCGGAGUCUGGAACUCGACUCCGUGAAGCUGGAUUCGCUAGUAAUCGCGCAUCAGCCAUGGCGCGGUGAAUACGUUCCCGGGCCUUGUACACACCGCCCGUCAAGCCAUGGAAGCCGGGAGUACCUGAAGUCCGUAACCGCGAGGAGCGGCCUAGGGUAAGACUGGUGACUGGGGCU
This 569-nucleotide ribosomal RNA is filed under the name uncultured rumen bacterium. Its description in RNAcentral is "bacterial SSU rRNA". It matches the Rfam family "Bacterial small subunit ribosomal RNA", at positions 905 to 1482 of the family's 1533-position model. The record is from RNAcentral.